GAGCUCAUACUCGCCCUGGAAUGACCAUUUUGAGUGGGUCGUUCUGUGUCUAUACUGAGGAUCUGCUGAAAUUGGUGUAUACUGAAGACUGGUUGUGGUAGAGAUAAGAUAUUAAAAAAGGAGGGAAAUUACUCCUUUUUUGGGGGAGGAGUAAAAAGAGAAAAAAUAUAUUUGAAAGUACUUUAGGUCAUAUACUGAACUUGAAAAUGUGAAGGUGUUCAGUCCUUUAUCGUAAAUAAACAGAUUCGAAAAGAAAUCGACUUCUUCCCCCACCUCAACCACCCUUAAUCUCAUUCUUGCAGAACACAAAAAAGAAAAAGAAAGAAAGAAAAAAGAAAAAAAAUCCCACUAAACAAAAACAAAGCAAAACAGAACCUAAAGUGGAGCGAUUUCAACUUUCGUCUUAAAGUGUCCUGAAGGUCGGAGUUUCAAAGUGGAGGGAUGACUUAGCCAGACACGAUGAAAACAACCGCAGUCUUUUUUUUGGUGUCUCUCCUUGGAAGCUUGCUGUGUCCUCCUCCAGCUUCAAGUCUUCAGUUUACAAAGACAUUGGCUUCAUGGUUUUCCAGUCUGGACCUUCGCCUUUCUACUGACGAAGGAGGAGGG
This is a long non-coding RNA of Penaeus vannamei (Pacific white shrimp), 606 nucleotides long. RefSeq lists it as uncharacterized. The record is from RefSeq and is a predicted model, not a curated record. Lineage: Eukaryota; Metazoa; Arthropoda; Malacostraca; Decapoda; Penaeidae.